CCUACGGGUGGCAGCAGUGAGGAAUAUUGGUCAAUGGACGCAAGUCUGAACCAGCCAUGCCGCGUGCAGGAUGACGGCUCUACGUGUUGUAAACCUCUUUUGUACGAGGAUAAACCCCGAGACGCGUACCCGGUUGAGAGUAUCUUACGAACAAGCAUCGGCUAACUCCGUGCCAGCAGCCGCGGUAAUACGGAGGAUCCGAGCGUUAUCCGGAUUUAUUGGGUUUAAAGGGUGCGUAGGCGGUUUGAUAAGUUAGAGGUGAAAUGCCGGGGCUCAACCCCGGAACUGCCUUUAAUACUGUUGGACUAGAGAAGAGUAGAGGUAGGCGGAAGGUGUGGUGUAGCGGUGAAAUGCUUAGAGAUCAUACAGAACACCGAUUGCGAUGGCAGCUUACCAAACUAUAUCUGACGUUGAGGCACGAAAGCGUGGGUAGCGAACAGGAUUAGAUACCCUUGUAGUC
RNAcentral lists this ribosomal RNA (460 nucleotides) under uncultured bacterium. Its description in RNAcentral is "partial 16S ribosomal RNA". It matches the Rfam family "Bacterial small subunit ribosomal RNA", at positions 338 to 795 of the family's 1533-position model. The record is from RNAcentral.